This 482-nucleotide ribosomal RNA is filed under the name uncultured bacterium. RNAcentral's name for it is "partial 16S ribosomal RNA". It matches the Rfam family "Bacterial small subunit ribosomal RNA", at positions 30 to 507 of the family's 1533-position model. The record is from RNAcentral.
AUUGAACGCUGGCGGCAUGCUCUACACAUGCAAGUCGAACGGUAACAGGCCGCAAGGUGCUGACGAGUGGCGAACGGGUGAGUAAUGCAUCGGAACGUGCCCAGUCGUGGGGGAUAACUACUCGAAAGAGUAGCUAAUACCGCAUACGAUCUAUGGAUGAAAGCGGGGGACCGUAAGGCCUCGCGCGAUUGGAGCGGCCGAUGUCAGAUUAGGUAGUUGGUGGGGUAAAGGCUCACCAAGCCAACGAUCUGUAGCUGGUCUGAGAGGACGACCAGCCACACUGGGACUGAGACACGGCCCAGACUCCUACGGGAGGCAGCAGUGGGGAAUUUUGGACAAUGGGAGCAAGCCUGAUCCAGCAAUGCCGCGUGCAGGAAGAAGGCCUUCGGGUUGUAAACUGCUUUUGUACGGAACGAAACGGCUCUGGUUAAUACCCGGGGCUAAUGACGGUACCGUAAGAAUAAGCACCGGCUAACUACGUG